Long non-coding RNA from Brassica napus (rape), 2016 nucleotides. RefSeq lists it as uncharacterized. The record is from RefSeq and is a predicted model, not a curated record. The transcript is spliced from 8 exons. NCBI's taxonomy places the organism in Eukaryota, Viridiplantae, Streptophyta, Magnoliopsida, Brassicales, Brassicaceae.
UUUGUUUUCUCUGGUCCAUCAAGGGAUCCCCUUCUUCUUGUGCUGAUUGAAGACCUUGCGAUCUCUCUUCCGCUUCCUCGGCUAAGUAACGUUCCAGAGUCAAUCACUAAAGAAAACUCAAUAAUCCCACGAUUUCCUCUUCACUGCAACUUUUGGAUUCUCUCAGUUUCAAACUCUAUAUAUCCUUUUGUUCUCUAGCUUUUCCUCUUUACCAAAAUUAUCAAAAUCAAAGAAUCUUGGCGAUCUUCUACACUCCAAGCUGUGAGAUUUCUUUACAAACAGUGGUCGCAAAGUUGAUUUUGUACAUUGAUAGGAUGGAAUUGCUGAUGAUUCCUUGAGUGAUGAGACACCCACGUCAAGUUUUUAAACUUGAGCACUGAAACUUCACAUGAAGCAAAAUACGCUGGUGCACAGGACAAUAAAUCUUCUUAUAAUGAGGGUGAGCCUCUGCAUAUACGUAACAUUGUUCAUGGCCUUCCCUCACCCACUUCCUCCUUUUUCAGUAUAUAUGUUGUACUAGGAAAUUAAGAAGCCUUUGGUCUCAUGCGUUUUCAUUCAAAAGAAGACCACAAUGAGCUACUCUAUUGUCUCGUGGGCGUGUACGGCAUGGUCAAACGGCUCAAAGUUCUCAUGGUAAGGACAUUGCUACUCUUUAUCUGUUUGGAUGUGACAUGGUGUUGGAUUGGGUGGAGCAAGAAGCACAUGUGGCAGGGUGUCGUUCGACGUCUGAAGCAGAGAGGUAUCAAGGGAGGAAGAGGAAGCAAGAGAACAAAGGGAAAUGGAGUAUAGACCUCCUAAGCAAGCAAUUUCAAGCAAGGUGUAUGAUUUGGACCUGAAUGGGUUCACGGAGUCGCAACUGCGGUACGAAAUCGUAACUGUUUGAGAUACUAGAUAUGUGGAUCCUACCUUCAUAUGAUUCGAAGUUUCUGUAGACCAAGAACCUUGUAGCUUCUGAGAAGAAGCGGCUUGGGUUUGCUUGAAGCUGAGAAGAAGAGGGCACAUGCUUUUGUCUAGCAAGUACGCCACGUUGCCAACUCUGUUUCUAAUCAGCGUGAGAUGGAUAGAAGUAAAAUGAGGGACAAACUUGAAGACAAAUUUCUAAGGGAAAAGAGACAUAGAUCGGAGUUUCUUUGUCAAAGAAGAAGACAGCUUGAUUCGAUUAGUCUCUACUGCGAUAUGAUGCAGCAAGAUGGUGAUCUUCUCUCUAGAAAGCUGUCAAGGUGUUGGAAGUGCUUUGUGAUUUAAUAAAGUCAGCCUGAUACUCUUAAAGCUGUUAACUCUUUGCUUGACCGCCUUCAAGUUCGCUUAGAAGCUUCUAAAACGUUACCGCUUCUUCUCAACCGUCGAUAAUGGAUAACAUUCAUCAUCUUCUUAGAAGAGUUGCCACCCCAAGAAAAAAGAAGACGCCAAGUACUCUAAAGAACAAGAAAGGAAAGAGAGUUACUCCUGGUAGGAGGGUGGCCGUGACAUCUGAGGUUUCCUAUCAGAGUGGUCCUUUCUGCUUUUAUGAUACUCGGUCAUCCAGACGCUGUGUUUAACAGUCAAGGUGAUCAAGAGGCUGCUCUUAAUGACUCAGCGAAGGGUUUUUUGAGGGAGUUUAAGUUAUUGAUAAAGGUUAUUAAAGAGGGUCAUGUUAAGAUGUCUAUUGAGGAAUCAAAGCUUCAGACGUUGAGAUCUCAGUUGGACUUAUUUGAUAAGGCAUGGUGCACAUUUUUGAAUUCGUUUGUGCUUUGGAAAGUGAAGGAUGCUCGGUUGUUGGGAGAGGAUAAGGUAAGAGCAGCUUGUCAGCUUGAAAUUUACAUGAUUCAGAAAUGCAAGAUUACUCCAGAAAGAGAUGACACUGUGCUCACUCAUGACAAGAAAGCAAUUCAGACCCGAAAUACGAAAGGCAUACUAAGCUUCCUAGAAGGAUAGACUAAUUUUUCAUUAUUGUAAUAGAUUAUUGCCACCGCUCUCCUACUCUGUUCCCUUCGCAAUAUAUCAUCAAUAAUCCAUAGCUAGCCAUAUUUACUUUAA